Molecule: ribosomal RNA, 303 nt
Filed under: Triticum aestivum (bread wheat)
Lineage: Eukaryota; Viridiplantae; Streptophyta; Magnoliopsida; Poales; Poaceae
Description: partial small subunit ribosomal RNA
Source: RNAcentral
AUGAUAAGCACCGACACCGGCUGGGUGCAAGUUAAUUCCAUCACCUGUACAAUAUUUUCCCCGAACACGAUACGUGUAGCUGGAGAUACUAGCAUCUCGAACCAUCUAGAACAGAAACAAAAACACUGUGUAGAAAGAUCAGAGGCGCAUCUAUCAUCUAGACUAUAUGCAGAAGAAGAGCAGAUACGUACAAAGAUUUGCAGAAAAAUCACAGGUCACGGCAGACCAUUGCCUGCAGAUGCGUACACAGCUAUGACUUUCAGGCGGACAAUUUUGUGGGCGAAGUCCACCGGAUUCAGAUAA